This 626-nucleotide long non-coding RNA is filed under the name Homo sapiens (human). Its description in RNAcentral is "HSALNT0104634". Lineage: Eukaryota; Metazoa; Chordata; Mammalia; Primates; Hominidae. The record is from RNAcentral.
CUGGCCUGGUUGGGCUUUUCCCGCCUCUGGUUGCUUUUCUGCCUUUCUAGUUUUUGGGUUACCAGAUAGAAGGCUUGGCCUCAGUUUUGGCCUCGCCUUUUUGCUCUUUCUAACGAGCACGAAGGGGCGAUAGGGACGCGGAGGACACCUUUAUUCUUGGCUGGUUCUAGCAUGCUGCUUCAUGUCCCCUGGAGCAGCGUGCCCUUCUGAAAACCUGUGGCUAAAUGUCUCUUCUGUUUAUAUCAGGCGUGUUACACCUUCACACGCACUAGGGAUCCAGGUAAGCCCAGCGGCCCGAACGUCAUUACUGACUGGUGACACUGCAGUAAGUAAACCUUUUUUGCCGAACACUUCAUAAGCACAGUCAGGUACUCCGUGGGUCAUAGCCCAGCGGACAAUUUAAGUAUAAAUGAUAUACACCAAGAUAGACAAUCUCGAUAGCUGUAUUUAGGGUACCAUCCCUUUAGGUAUUACGUUUUGGUCGAGUUUGGAAAAGAUCUGUAUGAUUUCACACGCAGUAUUUGACACAGGCAGGUGGGGCACCUGAGGCCAAUUAAAGGCCUUCUGGGAACUGUAGUUCUCUUUGGUUAACUAUUCCAGAGCUUUCUGGGAAUUGUAGUUUUCCC